UAAAGUAUUUAAGGUGGUUCGAUUUCCAUACUAAUUUAUUUUUCCAUUUAUGGACAUCUAGGCCAUAAUUUCAUACUGAAAUCACAUCAGUUGGCACUUAAUCAGAUCUUUAUUUGCGCUAAAAUAUAUUUAUCUGAAGAAAACAAUAGAUUAAUAGCUAAAUGAGAUCGAAAUUUUUACUAAUUUUUGUCAAUGUAUGAGUAGAAGGCGAUAGUGUCGUACGCUACGUACGUUUUAGUGGUGUGCGUUUCCGCUGCUUUCGUGGAAGUAGAUGCUGCGUUGCCAGUUCGCUGAUAGUAAGUUGGCAAGCGCUGUUGCCGCUCUUCGUUUUACGUUUGACGCAAAAUUAAAACUAUUAGCUUCAUGAAUAGCUUUCGAUGCGUCCCGGUCAGGUGAUGCCAAACGUAAGAGUUUCCUAAGAAUUUAGGGAAAAAUUCCCUAAAAGUUUGAAAUCAUGAACUAUUAACGCAGUAAUAUACUAAGCCUAUUAUUAUGAUAAAUAUACUUGCUUUUAGUAGCAUAAAGUAGUUGUAAAACUUUUUGAUCGAUUUUACCGAAACCAAAUUUUAUGUCAAUUUAUAUACUUUUAAUACUAUUAUUUCAUUAAUAUAGCCUUAAAAUCAUACUGAGGUAUUUAUAAUGAAUCGUAGUAAUUAAAAUAAUUAAAAUAAAAUAAUUAAAAUAAAAAUUAAAAAAAAGCUCUGGGUGUAUGGCGCACCGCGCAUUAUUCAAUAUCUAGGCAAAAACUAUUUAGAGAUGGUAACCCUCUUAUUGUGAAUUGCCGAUUGCGCGACGCGGUGGUACCUCUAGUGUUUGUGAUUUACAAGUGAUAAAGUUUGAGUAUUUUUAUUGUAUUGUUGCUUGUUCAUGCAACAAAAAUAAAUUAUGGAGCCACGAACUUCACGCAAAGAUUAUCUGAAUCACCAUUACUCUGGCCCCCGGAAAAGUCGCAAACGAGUUCUUGGACAAAUGAAAAAAAGAUAUCAUGGAGAAAGCAAAAGUCGUAGUGAAGUGUGGUGCAAAAAGAAGGCAGAUAACAAUCCUAUUCCUGGAAGUUUUGUGUAUGUGGAACAUGAAUAAUCUUCAAAUAAUAGUAAUUGAUCCAUAAUACAUAGGGAUUAUAGAAGAAGAAGUCAAUUUUGGAAAUAAAGUGUUUUCCCUCAUUGGCUCGCAACAGUCAAGAUAUGUUUUCUGCUGCAAAAGAUUGUAAAAAUUUUCCUCUCUACAUUGAUAGUACUGGGAGGUUACAAAUGAAUAAAAAACACAAUUUCUAUUAUCAGAUCCAGGGCCAGCUGUGGGUUACAAAAAUGAACAAAUGCUACUUUGUUAGAUAUAUUUCUCCAACUUACGACAUCACUAUUUUAGAAAUAGAACGUGAUGAAGUUUUUAUGGGUAACAUGAUACCAAAACUAGAUAAUUUUUUUAAAAAUUGUGUAUUGCCUGAAGUAGUACUUCGGAGAGUCGGCAAUAAUCAAACUUGCUUAUACAUUUCAUUGUGUAAAUAAAAUCAAUAAAAAUAUUUGAAAAAUAAUCAACUGCAUACAUGCAACAUGUACUCUACGUUGAUAAGAACCACCCUUGUGUAAAUUUAACCUUUUCCCACAAAUGAAUUUGCCUGAAAAACCCUCAUGAAAUUUUCCACUACAUUUGUUGUAUCAUUCGAUAGCCGAUGGCAUUUCGCCAUGACCUUUGUCUCAUUUGCAGCACAUAUGAGGGCCCACACUGUGGGAGCUUUACUUUAGACUAGAAGAAUACAUUCUAAUGAGUCUGUGUCUUUUUCAUCACUGUUGACACAGAAUCUACAGUAAUAUGGUUUACAUUCUUUAUGGCAGCCAAACACAUGAGAUGGGUCAAUUUUUGAAUCCUUAUCCUAAAUCAAUAAAAAUAUUUUUCAAAUAUUUUUAUUGAUUUUAUUUACACAAUUGGCUCAAUUUUACUGUCCCAUUCGGUGUCGAGACCCUUGGUCCCUGGGGUCCUAGCGCUUCAAGCCUUUUUAGGGAAAUAUGAAAAAGGUUAGUCGACAUCACAAAAGGCCGAAGAGCUGGCAGCUACCUCUGACUAAGAAUUAGUCUAGCCAUUCAAAGGGGGAACGAUGCCAGUAUCUUUGGAACCUUGCCUAA
Maniola jurtina (meadow brown) is the source of this 2120-nucleotide long non-coding RNA. RefSeq lists it as uncharacterized. The transcript is spliced from 4 exons. The record is from RefSeq and is a predicted model, not a curated record. Lineage: Eukaryota; Metazoa; Arthropoda; Insecta; Lepidoptera; Nymphalidae.